This 103-nucleotide ribosomal RNA is filed under the name Rhodomonas lens. Its description in RNAcentral is "partial 5.8S ribosomal RNA". The record is from RNAcentral. Lineage: Eukaryota; Cryptophyceae; Pyrenomonadales; Pyrenomonadaceae.
CAAACGACGGAUGCUCGGCUUCGUGUACUGUUGAGAGCGGCGCGGAAUGCAAUGAGAACGAUGCCAUGCAAAGCGUGUGUCAGAAAUGCGGAAACUCGAUCGU